This 2301-nucleotide long non-coding RNA is filed under the name Homo sapiens (human). RNAcentral describes it as "HSALNT0034700". Lineage: Eukaryota; Metazoa; Chordata; Mammalia; Primates; Hominidae. The record is from RNAcentral.
CUCAGAGGCCUGACAGUAUGCAGCAUGCAGCUGCAGCCCUUUGAGGAUUACCUUAUAUACCUACUCACCUCUUGGGAAAACACAGGUGUUAAAAGAAAUGGAUUUAACACAAUUCCUGGCCACCUCCUCCCCCUCCUGCCUAGACCAGAAACAGUUCCUACACUUCUGGUACUCAUCAAAAUAUGAAGAUUGGAAGAGUCUUCAUCCAAAUUGGAAAAAUGAUAAAAGGAUGCUUUCUACAAAACAUUACCAAAAGAAAGAAAAAACAGCCAACUGUGCAAUACUAAAGAUAUUACUCUGCCCUGGAGUCUAUUGGCCCUGACAUUCCUCAGAAAAGCAUAAGGAUCUCUUGGAUAAAACUAGAAGGAGGGAUACCUGUGUAAGAUUUUGAUUAUGUUUCAGAAAAUACAUCAUGUUGAACUAGCUGUGAAUAAUUAAAGCUUCUAAGGUGGAGGUAUGGUAUGAGUUGUUCUCUGUUUGGUAAAGCACCUAAUGAAUUAUAUUUAUCCUCUCAUCAUGCACAAAAGCAGCUCUUGUCAAGGCCAGUGAUAAUUUUCCACUGAAAAAAAUGGUGGAUGGAUUUUUGGAGUUAUCCUAUUUAUUAGUAAAUUUUAAGUGGUUGCUUGCACUGUAGGUUUUUCUCUAUUAUGGUAAAGCUUCAGUGAAAGUCUUAUUCAUAAAACUCCCUUGUAUCAGUAGCACUUAGAAAAGUGUAGAGUGGUUCACACCCUGUAAUCCCAGCUACUUGGGAGGCUGAGGCGGGAGGACCACUUGAGUCCAGACUGAGGCUGCAGUGAGCCAUGGUCACACCACUGCACUCCAGCAUAGGCAACAGAGUGAGACCAUAUUUCAAAAGAAAAAAAAGAAGAAAAUAAAUAAAAAGCAUGGUACUAGUACAAGAACAGACUCAUAGACUAAUGGAACAGAAUAGAGAGCCCAGAAAUAAGACCACACACCUACAGCUAUCUGAUCUUUGACAAACCUGACAAAAACAAGCAAUGGGGAAAGGAUACCCCAUUCAGUAAAUUGUUCUGGGAUAACUUGCUAGCAAUAUGCAGAAAAUUGAAACUGUACCCCGUCUUUACACCGUAUACAACAACCAACUCAAGAUGGAUUAAAGACUUAAAUGUAUAACCCCAAACUAUAAAAACCUUAGAAGACAACCAAGGCAAUAUCAUUCAGGACAUAGGCAUGGGCAAAGAUUUUACAACAAAGACACCAAAAGCAAUUGCAACCAAAACAAAAAUUGACAAAUGAGAUCUAAUUAAACUAAACGGCUUCUGCCCAGGAAAAGAAACUAUCAACAGAGUAAACAGACAACCUGCAGAAUGGGAAAACAUUUUUUCAAACUAUGCAUCUGACAAAGGUCUAGUAUCCAGCGUCUAUAAGGAAUUUAAAGAAAUAUACAAGAAAAAAAGCAAACAACCCCAUUAAAAAGUGGGCAAAGGACAUGACAGAUGCUUUUCAAAAGGAGACAUACAUGGGGCCAAAAAGCAUAUAAAAAUCUCAACAUUACUAAUCAUUAGAAAAAUGUAAAUGAAAACCACAGUGAGAUACCAUCUCACAGCGGUCAGAAUGGCUAUUACUAAAAAGUUAAAAAGUAACAGACGCUGGCGAGGUUAUGGAGAAAAAGGAAUGCUUUUACAUUGUUUCUCGGAGUGUAAAUUAGUUCAACCAUUGUGGAAGACAGUGUGGCAAUUCAUCAAAGACCUAAAGUCAGAAAUACCAUUUGACCCAGCAAUCCCAUUACGGGGUAUGUACCCAAAGGUUCUAUUAUAAAGACACAUGCAUGCAUAUGUUCACUGAAGCACUACUCACAAUGGCAAAAACAUGGAAUCAAUCCAAAUGUCCAUCAAUAAUAGACUGGUUAAAGAAAAUCUGGUAUGUAUGCACUAUGGAAUACUAUGGGGCCAUAAAAAAUAAUGAGAUCAUGUCUUUUGUGGGGAUGUGAAUGGACUGGAGGCCAUUAUCCUUAGCAAAGUAACUUUGGAGCAGAAAACCAAAUACUGCAUGUUCUCACUUAUACAUGGGAGCUAAAUGUGAGAACACAUGCACAGUUAGAGGGGAACAACACAUACUGGGGCCUACUGGAGGGUGGAUCAUGGGAGGAGGAAAAGAAUCGGGAAAAAUAGCCAAUGGAUACUACGCUUAAUACCUGGGUGAUGAAAUAAUUUGUACAACAAACGACCAUGACACAUGUUUACCUGUGUAACAAACUUGCACAUCCUGCACAUGUACCCCUGAAUUUAAAAUAAAAGUUAAAAAAAGAAAGAAGACUGAAAAGACUUUUUUUAUGAUAUU